CUUAACAAUGUUCACAUUAACAUGGGUCGGUUUGCUUUAGAAAAAUGGUAUAAUUAAGGUGGCUUGAUGGUAAGUUAGUUCCUAAAUAACUGCACGGAUUAAGAAAUUGAUGAAAUGCAUUUAAAAGAUGGGUGAGAGAGAUCAGUUUCCUCUCAGGGUGGCUUAGAAGUAGAACUAGUAAGUUCGGUAGAGGCUGCCAGGGGCACGAUUCCUGAUUCAUCAACUCAAAGAGCAUGCAAAAUCCCAGGACAUUAGAAGAUGGAUCAGAAAGUGUAGUGUUCUUAGGUUUUUCUCCUAGGAGAAGAGCAGGGGAGGUUCUUUUCUGCAGAAAGGAAGAAACAACCUCAGCAAUUUCCAAACGAAAAGGCUGGUGUCCCAGGGAUGAUAAAAAGCAGAGGUUGUGUGUCUGUCAAGCCCACAUGCAGGUCUAGGUGCACUCUGCACCCUGCUCCAGGAACUGGGAAGACUCGAGCAUGGGGAAUGCAGUUGAAACGCAUCUCUGAACCCCGCUCCAGGAACUGGGAAGACUCGAGCAUGGGGAAUGCAGUUGAAACGCAUCUCUGAACCCCUUUUUGAGGAAGAAGAAGGAAACAGAGAAACAGGAAGAGGAGGAGGAGGAAGGGUUCUGAAUGAAGAUUGUGCCAAUUAAAAGGUGCCCUGGUUGGCCACAAAGCCCAGAACUAGAAAUAGAAGGAACACAAUGGAAACACCAGCUGUCGGAAGCUGCAGCAGGACCUCAAGAAUGAUGCUGCAAACAUCUAAUGAGAAAUAGAAAACUUCUUACAAGUCCCAUAACUAAUGUCGAUGAGACAAUGCUGAAGACGAGCCUGAAUUUAAUAAAUCUUUUAAUAUUUCCACAGCUGGGCCUGCUUACUCGGGGCUGGUGGACCAUUUUCUUAAAUAAGGCAUGGCGCUGGUCUGACAUUAGUUUAACAAGAUCUUCAGAAUGAUAAUUAGUGUCAUCAUUGUCAAGUUCAAGUUCUCCUGACUUGUUGAAAAGCCAAAAAUACAUAUUGUGACAGGGAAGUUCCCAUCAAAGAGUAGUAAGGAGAAUACCAAUUGGGAAAGGACAACUUCAUAAAAAUAAACAAGUAUGGCAUAAUGGUUUGUGAAGCUGAUUCUUCUGGAAUGAAUAAUAAAAGCAAAAUACAUGAAGGCACCCAGUUCUGUAAGCUCCUAAAUUCAAAUACUCCAAUAUGAU
Molecule: long non-coding RNA, 1201 nt
Filed under: Homo sapiens (human)
Lineage: Eukaryota; Metazoa; Chordata; Mammalia; Primates; Hominidae
Description: HSALNT0318522
Source: RNAcentral